UAACGUAACAGAUACUGUAUCAACUUGC
This 28-nucleotide non-coding RNA is filed under the name Bombyx mori (domestic silkworm). Lineage: Eukaryota; Metazoa; Arthropoda; Insecta; Lepidoptera; Bombycidae. The record is from RNAcentral.